UCUUUUCGAAUUUUUUUUUUCGCGACAACUGCGAAGGAUCUUAUUUUUCGAGAUGCGACAGUAAGACCUUCGAUGGAAUCUUAGUUGUCCUCAAGAUUCUCGAAAUCAUCAUCUUCAGGGGAUGGUACAUGACUAUUGUCAGGCACAGAGUCAUCCAGGUGAUCACCAUAUUCGACCACCACAUCAACUUGACCGCCUUUCUUGGCCUCGGGGUCGUGCUCCCCAGUCAUAGUCAAAUUCAC
This 242-nucleotide long non-coding RNA is filed under the name Lathyrus oleraceus (garden pea). RNAcentral describes it as "Pisum sativum (pea) long non-coding RNA (PSAT_LNC003846)". Lineage: Eukaryota; Viridiplantae; Streptophyta; Magnoliopsida; Fabales; Fabaceae. The record is from RNAcentral.